CCGCAACCUAGCAACCACCAGCACUGAACUGGCACUACUCUCAACUGACACUACUAAGUUUGCUUAAAAGGUAAAGGUACCCCUGCCCGUACGGGCCAGUCUUGACAGACUCCAGGGUUGUGCGCUCAUCUCACUCUAUAGGCCGGGAGCCAGCGCUGUCCGCAGACACUUCCGGGUCACGUGGCCACUGUGACGAAGCUGCUCCGGCGAACCGGCACCAGAGCAGCACACAGAACGCCGUUUACCUUCCCGCUAGAAAGCUGUACCUAUCUACUUGCACUUAAUUGUGCUUUCGAACUGCUAGGUGGGCAGGAGCUGGGACCGAACGACAGGAGCUCACCCCGCCGCCGGGAUUCGAACCGCCGACCAUGCGAUCGGCAAGUCCUAGGCACUGAGGUUUUACCCACAGCGCCACCCGCGUCCCUAAGUUUGCUUAUAUGGCUUUUAAUCCAUGUUUACCCCCAACACAUUUUAAAAGGGCAUUGGAUGUCAAUCAGAUCAACGGAAGGGCCUGGUUAAAAAGGAACCUCUUUCCCUGGCGCCUAAAGGUGUAUAAUGAAGGCGUCAGGCAAACUUCACUGGGGAGAGCAUCCCAUAGAUGGGGACCCACUGCAGAGAAGGCCUGUUCUCAUGUUGCCACCCUCUGGACCUCUCAAGGAGGAGGCACACAAAGAAGGGCCUCAGAAGAUGAUCUCAGGGUCUGGGUAGGUUCAUAUGGAGAUAGGUGGUCCUUGAGGUAUUGCGGUCCUGAGCUAUUUAAGGCUGUAUAGUGUCCUCGAUCUGUUAGGAGUUGGUAUGAAACUGCCUGUAGCUAGGAAAAUGUCUACUGUGCUUAAACAAGUGAAACAUGAAAGUUUCCGAAAACCUGAACUGUUGUAGAUGUUACCUUUGAUGUGCUGAAAGGCAACUUAGUUUAAUAUCUAGGUGCUAGACGGCUUUUUGCAUUCCUUAGCAAAUGAUAAAUAUGUGGUAGCUAUACUGCAGAAAAUGUUUGCACGUUACAAAAUCCAUCAUAAAAGGGAUGUCUUUCCAGAAGAACCUUCCUUGGAAGGGGAAAAGAAGCAGAAAUGUGGAGGUAUUUAAAAGUGCCACUAGACUUUAGGGGUUUUUGGGGGGCUGUACAUAACUACUUUCUGGAAACUCCUUCCCAAACCUUGUUUCCCCAAGCAAGACUCUAGAAUUAAAUUCUUAUCAAAUCUAGAUGACCUUUCUUUUUAACAGAAAGAUUUAUGGGUUUUUAUAUACAUAUAUAGUGAAUCAACACUCUCUUUGACACAAAGGGAGGCUGUGUUUAGAAACUAGCAUAGAAAGCUGCACUGCACAUUGAGACAGUGUUAGAAAUAAGACGUGUUUUCCUUCCUGAAGGGCAAAGUGCUAAAUCUACCACUGAGUUUUAUUAUUUCACCAGUAGCACUUAGCCUAUAACAGAUCUAGUAAUAUUGCUAACUGCGGCUUCCUUUCAUCUGCUGAUGUAAAAUGGCAGAGCUUCAACACCUCCUUAGACAUGAAAAGAUUUUUACCUUGACUCGUGAUAACAGCUCCCAUUAAUCUUUCUCACUGUGAGCUGUCUGCAUUUUAUCCUAAAAGUGCUAAUGCUAAAGUUUUCAGAGAAGGCUUCAAGAUAGGAAAGAGGAGCCGGUCAGAAAAUUCUUUCUAAAAAGAUUUAAAAUUCUCUUUCAGUAAAUAAAUGUGGUUUUCAUUUUCUGCUUCAGCAAAAUGCAAUCAACUCUUUCAAAAAACCCCAAGAUUAAUUAUUGUUUCUUGGAGGUAUGCAAGACAGCCUCCUGGUUACAGUAGCUUCCCUAUUUAUUUAUAUUUUUGUAGGGGGAAAUGUUUGUAAGAUAGCUAAUUAGUUGCUGAUGGACCUUCUCUUCACGUUUGCCUCUGGGUGACAACAUAGAGCUAAAGAAGAAUACAAUAGAAUUGGUAAAGGUAAAGGACCCCUGGAUGGUUAAGUCCAGUCAAAGGCGACUGUGGGGUUGCAGCACUCAUCUCGCUUUCAGGGCAAGGGAGCCGGUGUUUGUCCACAAACAGCUUUUUGGGUCAUGUGGCCAGCAUGACUAAACUGCUUCUGGUGCAAUGGAACACCGUGAUGGAAAACAGAGUGCACAGAAACGUUGUUUACCUUCCCACCUCAGAGGUACUGUACCUAUUUAUCUACUUGCACUGGCAUGCUUUCGAACUGCUAGGUUGGCAGGAGCUGGGACAGGGCAACGGGAGCUCAAUCCGUCGCGCAGAUUCGAACCACCGACCUUCUGAUCAGCACCACCCGCACCUCCUUACUCUGUCCCAGCUCCUGCCAACCUGGCAGUUCAAAAGCACACCAGUGCUUACACAGCCCACUGCUCCAUGGAUGGAAGGAAUGCAUGAGGGCCCACUGGCCCCACCAGUGCACUUCCCAUUGGGUUUGAUGCAUAGGUAGAGCUGCUCCAUAUGAAGAGGGAGUCUGGUUGGGUCAGGUUCCUCCUUGCCUGGAGGAGAUUGGAUGUAGGGCAGGGGGCUGAUGGUCUAUAGCUCCACUAGUAGUGCUUUGUCCACAGGAAGUCCCAAAUUGAAUCCCUCUCAGGAGAGCUGGGAAGGGUUCCUGCCUGAAACUCUGGAAAGAUGGUACCAUUGUUGGCAAUGGAUUGCAUCUCCAGGGCUGAAGUCAUCCAGCUAUGUUAGCAGCAGCCAAGUGACCUCCCUAGGUAGUGUGUAUGGAAGUCCUGGACUGCCCAGGCGGCCUCGCUGAUGUGGUCCCGAGGAAAGGAAAGCAAUAUCUUUGGCAACAGUUGGGCUGCAGGAGUUGCCACAAGGAUGCCUACAAGAGUCCACUCUGGAUUUGUGUAGGGUUUACUCCUUAGCCUUUUUUUCUCCCAAAUAUACCCCACAAAGCGGCUGAGGUUUAGGAUCAGAGUUUCCCUUCUGCUAGAUGGGCUACCUUCCCAGGUGGAUGAGCCCCAUAUGCCCCUUCCUUCCCUCUACAACACAGGCUGAAACUGCCUUCUUGACCGCUGGACCCACUACACUGGUACCUCGGGUUACAAACACCUCAGGUUACUUUGGGUUACAGACUCCGCUAACCUGGAAGUAGUACCUCGGGUUAAGAACUUUACCUCAGGAUGAGAACAGAAAUCGUGUGGCGGCAGCGGGAGGCCCCAUUAGCUAAGGUUAAGAACGGUUUCAGGUUAAGAACAGACCUCCGGAACGAAUUACGUUCGUAACCAGAGGUACCACAGUAUUGGUUUCGUCCACUAACUCUGACUCCAUAUAAGGCAGAUUUUUAAGUUCCCAGGAAUAGGAAUUGAAUAACGGCCUUUCCCACACAGGUGGCAGAGAAACAUUUCCAUGGCAGGGAUGUUGGCACAACAUUAUAACCCCCCAUGCGUUCUUUCAACACAUGGGAGGGCUGCCAAAUAUUUCCUGGUAAAAUCGACAUAUAAUGUUACGCUGAUAGAAAUAUAGCAGAAACACUUUCCAGCUACCUAUGAAAUGCAAAUUACCAUACACAGAAAGUUAUAUACAUCAGGAGCAGCUAAAAAUGCCAGAUCAAAAAUCUUCAUGAUGAGUCGAUGCCUUUGGAGAAAUAUGGAAUAUGUCAAAGUAUAAGAGACAUAUUUUCUUUGCUGCUUUAUUUGCAGUGGUGGUUUCCCCUCAAGCCCCAGUCUCUCUUCAGCAAUUGCGUGCAACUUCACCAUAAAUGGAUAGGUCACUUGACAAAUUUAGGGAGAGAUAAUUCGGAAUGAUAGACUUUCAUGCCAUUGUCCAACUCAGCUGGGGAGAUAACAAAUCUGAAUAGGCGAUAAAUAUGUUGUCUUUGGCCUUUUCUUUUCCAUCAGUUCAACCUAAUUGGAGCCUUUGACACUAAGGUGUCAAUGCAGGAAUUGCUCCUUCAACUUUGUGGCAGGUGAUUUGCAUUUCAGAGUUUGACACAUUUAUAGUCUUUGAUCUUUUAACCACCAGCCUGCAUCCUUGUUUGGGUGUUUUGUUUUUUAAAAAACAACAGGUGAAGUGAUCAGCUCUUCUUAGGAACAACAAGGAAAACCUAGAUCAACCUUCCAGAUCCAGAUCCUAAACAUAUUUACCUGGAAAUGUCAUUCUUUGCUCAACAACACUUAAUUAUGUGCAGCGGAUUGUAGGCUUUAUAGUACAACUGUAUACUCGGAAGGAAGUCUCUGUAUGUUAAUGUUGCUUAAAGAUAAAGGGACCCCUGACCAUUAGGUCCAGUCGUGGCUGACUCUGGGGUUGCGGCGCUCAUCUCGCUUUAUUGGCCGAAGGAGCCUGCGUACAGCUUCCAGGUCAUGUGGCCAGCAUGACUAAGCCGCUUCUGGUGAACCAGAGCAGCGCAUGGAAAUGCCGUUUACCUUUCCGCCGGAGCUGUACGUAUUUAUCUACUUGCACUUUGACGUGCUUUUGAACUGCUAGGUUGGCAGGAGCUGGGACCAAGCAACGGGAGCUCACCCCGUCACGGGAAUUCGAACCGCCAACCUUCUGAUCGGUAAGACCUAGGCUCUGUGGUUUAACCCACAGCGCCACCCUCAUCCCAUUAAUGUUGCUUACUCUCAGGUAAUAAGGCUGCAAGCUUAGUCUGAUUUAUAGCAAACAAAGCAGCUGAUUAGUAGUGAUGCCAAUCAUGCUUUUCCAAACCUGGUUGGACUACAACUCCAUCCUCCCUGACUAUAAGCCAUUCUGGUUGAGGGUGAUGGGAGUUGUAGUCCAAAAUUUUUGGAAUGGCCCAGAACACAAAACCACAUGUUCUAACAUUAUGGUACUGUAGCUAUCUUUAUUUUAAAUAAAGUUCACAAAGGUUCACUACAACAGUAUGAUACAAACCGAAGGUGUACACUGGUUCCUGUUUAUUUGAACCCUCCAAGGGAUUUUAAAAUCCCCCGAAAGAUAGGUUCCAUAUGAUUCACUUAGAUCGCACAAUUUGUUCUGCAAUGUGUACAAUGAGGCACAAUUUAUUUUGGUUUUCGUAAGCAUGAGAAGGAGCUGUACAGGGCAUAAUACACUAGAACUGCUGUAGCUCAACAUGGAUGAAAGCCUGAGGAAAAGGGGACUAUUGUCCUUCCUGCCAUAGUCCUUUGUUCCCCAUACAGGACAUUCAGAAUUUCCUCUGGGUGAUGGCUUUUGGGUAAUGCAGAGAUUUGCAGGAGAAAGAGAGAGUUGCUUUCAUUAGUCUUGUCAUCUGGGCAGGGACACAGGUGGUGCUGUGGUCUAAACCACUGAGCCUCUUGGGCUUCCCAAUCGGAAAGUUGGCAGUUCAAAUCUGUGCAACGGGGUGAGCUCUCAUUGCUCUGUCCCAGCUCCUGCCAACCUAGCAAUUUGAAAGCACAUCAGCGCAAAUAGAUAAAUAGGUACCUCUGCGGUGGGAAGGUAAAUGGCAUUUCCAUGAGCUCUGGUUUUCAUCACUGUGUUCCGUUGUACCAGAAGCGGUUUAGUCCUUCUGGCCACAUGACCCGGAAAACUGUCUCUGGACAAACGCCUGCUCCCUCAGCCUGAAUGUGAGAUGAGCGCCGCUACCCCGUAGUCGCUUUUGACUGGACUCAGCUGUCCAGUGGUCCUUUACCAUCUGGGUAGUCCUGGGCUGCCCAGAUGAGAAGACCCUCUUGGCUUUGCUGAUGUGGCCCAAAGGAAAACAGGGCAAUAUGUUUGGCACCAGCUGGACUGCAGGAGUUGCCAGAAGGAGACAUACAAGAUGCUAUCUGACCGUCUUAGGGACUCCACUCCGGAUUUCCAUAGGGUUUGCCCCUUAGCCUUUUCUUCUCCUGAAGUUAUCCUGCAAGGAAGCGGAGGUUUACAGUCAGAGUUUUCCUUCUCCUUCCUUCCUUCCCAGGUUGAUAAGCCCCACUUGCGUCUCGAAAGAUAAAGACUGUACAGCGUAUUGGACCCCAACGUCAAACUGCUGGUAAUUUUAUCCAGCCACCCUUCUGGCUUCUGAGAUCUCAGCCUGCAUUGCCCACACAUUUUCAAACAUAUCUUCAAAACCGUUCUAGACUAGAAACUGUUUCCCCCAUAAAUUAAGAGUAAGAUUAUCCAAUAUCUUCAAAAGUGUGUCCUAGCAGACAGUCCUGACAACUGUGUUAGGAGCAUAGAAAGUUGCCUUAUGCCAGGGGUCAACAAACUUUUUCAGCAGGGGGCCGGUCCACUGUCCCUCAGACCUUGUGGUGGGCUAGACUAUAUUUUGGAAAAAAAUGAAUGAAUUCCUAUGCCCCACAAAUAACCCAGAGAUGCAUUUUAAAUAAAAAGGACACAAUCUACUCAUGUGAAAACACACUGAUUCCUGGACCAUCCGCUGGCUGGAUUUAGAAGGCGAUUGGGCCGGAUCCAGCCCCCGGGCCUUAGUUUGCUUACCCAUGCCUUAUGCUGAGUCCUUUACAAUGAUCCUUCCAGAUCAGUACAGUGUUGUCUUCGUGUACUGUCCAUGGUCCUGAAGGGUUUCAGACCGAGGUCUCUCCCACAGCUCCACUAGAAGAUUGCAAGGAUCAAACAUGGGGACCUUUGGUCCUUCUGCAUCAAUUUCUGGCCUAUGUAGUCACACAGCACCCAAAGCUCCUUCACUUUUUAGCAGAAGUCCCUUCCAGUUCUGCCUCCAGGACAUUACCAUCACUAAUUUUGAUCUCCGGAAGACUGAUGCAUCUGUCUGUGUGGUUUCACUUCUAACCUUUUAGUGAAUAAGAGAGCUAUGAUUGCCUGCCAUGGUCUGAUAAAUAUGUGCGGCAGAGCCUGGCAGAUCAAGUCAAAGAAAUUAGAGUUGAGCCAAGCUGUUUUUCAUCUGCGUCUUCCCCCACAGCUGCCAAUAUGGGCAUUAGUGAAUUGCAUUUCGCGUUGAAUCUAGUUCCAGGUAUAUUAACUACAGAGCUGCUGAUUUAAAUGCAACUGCCCCAGGUUUCUCUGCACAGUGAGCCAUUCACGUGCAACCUCUAGGCAUGAGACCAAAACUCAGGUAUCAACCCAGAUUUUGGCAGUACAUUCAGGCUCCUGCCUGACAAAUGGGACCAGGAUUAUAGGAAUCACAGCAGCCUCUAGUAUGGCAGAUGGGUCAAGGAUGUCAUUGUUGUUGUUUUAUGCAUUCGAAUGCUCCCAUCUGAUUCCAAAACCAAUGCAGACAUUGCAGGAGGUUCUGAGUGUGGAAAUCUGUCUUUUCAAUCACUCUCCUCUUCUAUGAACUGACCUUGGAAAUCUCUCACCACAGAAUCUUCUGAGAAGGAUUCUGACAAUGUUUUGACUGGGGCUGUCAACUCAUUAAAUAAUUUUAGCAGAUCAAUCUCUGGCUUAUGAACGAACCAAGCUUGAUUUUUCUAACACCACAGAAGCCCCUGUUGGAAUGACAGUAUAUCAUAAGGCAGCGUCAUUUUAGGGGGCUGGGAGGGGGAGGAAGUGUCCUAGAUCAUGCUUGGAAAAUCCAUUUUUAAAAUAAUUAUCAGAUCUGUUUUGGAAGGCUGAUUCUUUCAUUUUAAAAAGUUAUGGAUGGAUUUGGGAAAGCUGCUCCUCUACAAAGCCCGAACAACUUGUCAUGUAGCUUCCUCAUCUGACAAGAUUGCGGAAAGGAAAACAAAUGGGAGACGAUUGUUAUUCUGAGCAUACGCUUUAUAAAAAUGAAAUGUCAGGGUAAAAAACUUUGAUGGCAAUAGGAGAGUACGUUUUGGAACACAAAUUCCUCAUUUAUAUGGCGGUAGCCGCCAGAGGUUGUGGGGAGAGUGGAGCUUGCAUUUUGUUUGUUUUUUGUACACACUCAUCAGCAUAAAACAGUGGCAUUUUUUUGCAUUAGGGAGAACUGUGGAACACAGCAAUAUUGUAUGCAAAGGCAUCAGUCCGUGCCUAAAAGACGAGAAGGAAGAUCAGAUUCCUGCUCGUACUGCAACUUCCCACCAUAUUGUAUACCAAGCACAUUCAGCAGGGAAAACUUGCAUGUAGGAUCUGUAUGGGGCGUUUCUCAUUAAUCCAAGGGAAGCUUUGGCCCACCAGAUGUUGCUGAAUGACCCCUCCCAUCAGCACCAGAAAACAUGGCCGACUGCCAGGGAUGAUGGGAGUUGUAGUUCAGCAGCAUCGUUCAGCCCGGACACUGAGAUCCAGCACUGAGGGCCUUCUGGUGGUUCCCUCAUUGCAAGAAGUGAGGUUACAGGGAACCAGACAGAGGGCCUUCUCGGUAGUGGCGCCCACCCUGUGGAACGCCCUCCCUUCAGAUGUGAAGGAAAUAAGCAGCUAUCUUCUUUUUAAAAGACAUCUGAAGGCAGCCCUGUUUAGGGAAGUUUUAAUAUUUAAUGCUGUAUUGUUUUUAACACUUGAUUGGAAGCCGCCCAGAGUGGCUGGGGAAACUCAGCCAGAUGGGCGGGGUAUAAAUAAUAAAUUAUUAUUAUUAUUAUUAUUAUUAUUAUUAUUAUUAUCUGAGGGAACCAAAGCUCCCCCACACCGGCGAUAAUUCCUGCAAAUUGCAGAGUGGAUUUCAAGAACUGGCAUUCAAAUCCUUUCUCACCAUUUGGUCAAAAGGUAAACUGACUCCACUAUAAUGGAGCUGCAUUUUAAUGAUAUUUUAUGCAUUCAUAUCCAUUCCCUUAAGGAUUUGUUGUUACUUUUAAUAUUUAGAUAUCAAUAUCUGAGCCACUGUCAACAGAUUCCCCGCCCUUGCCCUAUGAUUAAUACAUUGUAUGUUAUCUCAUUCAGUCUCCCUAAUGAUGGCUUUCUUGGUUGUAUUAUUAAUGUAUUUUCCAUAAUAUUACCAAUUUCUUUAAUCAGUCUAAAAUGCCUGUUUUAGUUGUAAUAAGAAAAUUGGCUUUAAUUUGCAGUCGUGUAAACCCUGUGGUCUAAACCACAGAACCUAGGGCUUGCCGAUCAGAAGGUCGGCGGUUCGAAUCCCCAAGACAGGAUGAGCUCCCGUUGCUCGGUCCCUGUUCCUGCCAACCUAGCAGUUCGAAAGCACGUCAAAGUGCAAGUAGAAAAAUAGGUACCACUCCAGCAGGAAGGUAAACGGUGUUUCUGUGCACUGCUCUGGUUCACCAGAAGUGGCUUAGUCAUGCUGGCCACAUGACCCGGAAGCUGUACGCUGGCUCCCUCGGCCAAUAAAGCGAGAUGAGCGCCACAACCCCAGAGUAGGCCACGACUGGACCUAAUGGUCAGGGGUCCCUUUACCUUUACCUUUAAACCCUCUGCAAAGAGCUUAAUACAAACUAAGAAUUGCUGUAGAAUAAUUAUUAUUAAAUAAAAGCUGGAAUGUAAAGGAUGGACAUUUGAGGUGACAGGGAGUGAUAUGAAUCUUCUAGCUGGGGUGUUAGAUCUCUGAUGACACAGACAUGCCAGUUAACAGCUAAACGUUGCCAUUACAAAAUGGUAAUGUGAACUAGAUCUAAGCUGAUCUGUAUUGAGGUACCGGCAUGGCCUUUAAUUCCUAUAACAUUAUCCUAUUUACAUUUGUGCAAAAAUUGAAAUGAUAACUUAUCAAAAGACACCUAUGCGUACCAUUCAUACCAAAUAAAAUUUCAGACUAUUCAUCAGCUCACUUUAGCAAGUAUUCCAGUUAUGUAAAGGCAAGUGAGGAGACAGGAUAGCUAAAUUUGAUUGCUAAAUCCUAUACAGUGGUACCUCGGGUUACAUACGCUUCAGGUUACAUAUGCUUCAAGUUACAGACUCUGCUAACCCAGAAAUAUUACCUCGGGUUAAGAACUUUGCUUCAGGAUGAGAACAGAAAUCGUGCUCCAAUUGCACGGCGGUGGCAGCAGGAGGCCCCAUUAGCUAAAGUGGUACCUCAGGUUAAGAACAGUUUCAGGUUAAGAACGGACCUCCGGAACGAAUUAAGUACUUAACCUGAGGUACUACUGUACAAUACAUACUGAACUCUGUGGGGCUUACUUCUGAGUGUGUGUUUCAAAGAUUGGGGGAAAUUGAAGCUAUUUUGUGAGGCAAUGAAAGCUGGUGAUUAAGUGUUUAUACCGAAUUUACCAUAGGUCUUUAAAUCAGAGACACAAUACAUUGUCUUUGGAUUUCUUUGUUGAAAUUGUGCUUGGAAAAAGUGUACAUUUUGACAGGAAGGAAACCUCACUCUUCUCUGCUCAAAUAAUAACUACAAGCCUGUACUCUGUACUAUUUCUGAUCCUUUUGCGUUAGCUUAAAACGAGAAGCAGACAUUAAAGAAGACCAACCACACGGCGUCAUCUCCUUUCAACUUCUGUUAACAGGGGCAUUAAAAAGACCCUCCUCAAUAUCAGCUGGAAAAUGCCAAGUCAUAAAAGUUGUACUUAAAAGGUGAGUAGGUGUAAAUUCGGCACAUGAGACUGUUUUCAUCUAGGAAGCCGCUUGAUUAGAGGCCAGUUGUCUUAAUGAAUUGGGAAGUUGCUGUCACAUCUCAGUCAGUCGAGAUUGCCACUUCUGGGGGGAUCAAAUGUUCACAUGGGAGGUUCUCAGAUAUGGCAUAUUGGCCCUGAUCUUGCUAGUGUGUGACCAGAGGACACCGCCUUUGCAAGACACCAGUGAGAUCAAGAAACCCAGCCUGCAUAGUUGUGCGAAUCAGAUUCUGGGGCUGCUUCACACAUGACCCUGAGACAUUCAUCGUUCCAAGACAGAGGGUUUCAACCUUUUUGAGUCCACGGCUCCCUUGACCGGCUGAAGAUUGAAUGUUGCUUGGCUUCAAAUUGCUGAAUAAAUUGUUGGAGUGAUUAAAAAAACCCAAAACCUAUCACUCAGGCAGGAAAUCUUCUUGUUUUUUUAUGGUGUCACCAAGCACGCCUACGAUAUGAGCUGCACAGCUCGAAAACCUUUAACAUUAUGAGAUUACUUGGUGACCGAAAAGGUCUUUCCCCUCUCUGCCCUGAUUUUUACAAGGUGGAAGAAAAUUUAGAGACCCCCCAAAUAUGAAUUCUCCCUAGAUAUUAUAUAUUAAAACCCCUUUAGCCGCAGAAAAACGGAACAAGUC
This is a non-coding RNA of Podarcis lilfordi (Lilford's wall lizard), 10885 nucleotides long. Lineage: Eukaryota; Metazoa; Chordata; Lepidosauria; Squamata; Lacertidae. The record is from the annotation of a GenBank genome assembly.